GAUGAACGCUGGCGGCGUGCCUAAUACAUGCCAGUCGAGCGAACAGACGAGGAGCUUGCUCCUCUGACGUUAGCGGCGGACGGGUGAGUAACACGUGGAUAACCUACCUAUAAGACUGGGAUAACUUCGGGAAACCGGAGCUAAUACCGGAUAAUAUAUUGAACCGCAUGGUUCAAUAGUGAAAGACGGUUUUGCUGUCACUUAUAGAUGGAUCCGCGCCGCAUUAGCUAGUUGGUAAGGUAACGGCUUACCAAGGCAACGAUGCGUAGCCGACCUGAGAGGGGGAUCGGCCACACUGGAACUGAGACACGGUCCAGACUCCUACGGGAGGCAGCAGUAGGGAAUCUUCCGCAAUGGGCGAAAGCCUGACGGAGCAACGCCGCGGGAGUGAUGAAGGUCUUCGGAUCGUAAAACUCUGUUAUUAGGGAAGAACAAAUGUGUAAGUAACUAUGCACGUCUGGACGGUACCUAAGCAGAAAGCCACGGCUAACUACGU
This 496-nucleotide ribosomal RNA is filed under the name uncultured bacterium. RNAcentral's name for it is "partial 16S ribosomal RNA". It matches the Rfam family "Bacterial small subunit ribosomal RNA", at positions 28 to 506 of the family's 1533-position model. The record is from RNAcentral.